RNAcentral lists this ribosomal RNA (1480 nucleotides) under synthetic construct. RNAcentral's name for it is "bacterial SSU rRNA". It matches the Rfam family "Bacterial small subunit ribosomal RNA". The record is from RNAcentral. RNAcentral also lists the same sequence under 1 other name.
GACGAACGCUGGCGGCGUGCCUAAUACAUGCAAGUCGAACGCUUCUUUCCUCCCGAGUGCUUGCACUCAAUUGGAAAGAGGAGUGGCGGACGGGUGAGUAACACGUGGGUAACCUACCCAUCAGAGGGGGAUAACACUUGGAAACAGGUGCUAAUACCGCAUAACAGUUUAUGCCGCAUGGCAUAAGAGUGAAAGGCGCUUUCGGGUGUCGCUGAUGGAUGGACCCGCGGUGCAUUAGCUAGUUGGUGAGGUAACGGCUCACCAAGGCCACGAUGCAUAGCCGACCUGAGAGGGUGAUCGGCCACACUGGGACUGAGACACGGCCCAGACUCCUACGGGAGGCAGCAGUAGGGAAUCUUCGGCAAUGGACGAAAGUCUGACCGAGCAACGCCGCGUGAGUGAAGAAGGUUUUCGGAUCGUAAAACUCUGUUGUUAGAGAAGAACAAGGACGUUAGUAACUGAACGUCCCCUGACGGUAUCUAACCAGAAAGCCACGGCUAACUACGUGCCAGCAGCCGCGGUAAUACGUAGGUGGCAAGCGUUGUCCGGCUUUAUUGGGCGUAAAGCGAGCGCUGGCGGUUUCUUAAGUCUGAUGUGAAAGCCCCCGGCUCAACCGGGGAGGGUCAUUGGAAACUGGGAGACUUGAGUGCAGAAGAGGAGAGUGGAAUUCCAUGUGUAGCGGUGAAAUGCGUAGAUAUAUGGAGGAACACCAGUGGCGAAGGCGGCUCUCUGGUCUGUAACUGACGCUGAGGCUCGAAAGCGUGGGGAGCAAACAGGAUUAGAUACCCUGGUAGUCCACGCCGUAAACGAUGAGUGCUAAGUGUUGGAGGGUUUCCGCCUUUCAGUGCUGCAGCAAACGCAUUAAGCACUCCGCCUGGGGAGUACGACCGCAGGGUGAAACUCAAAGGAAUUGACGGGGGCCCGCCACAGGCGGUGGAGCAUGUGGUAUAUUUAGAAGCACGAGAAGACCUUUCACCAGGUCUCGACAUCUUUUGACUACUCUAGAGAUAGAGCUUCCCUUCGGGGAACAAAGUGACAGGUGUGCAUGGUGUUGUCAGCUCGUGUCGUGAGAUGUUGGUUAAAGUCGCGCAACGAGCGCACCCUUUAUUGUUAGUGCCCAUCAUUAAGUUGGGCACUCUAGCGAGACUGCGGGUGACAACCCGGAGGAAGGUGGGGAUGACGUCAAUUCAUCAUGCCCCUUAUGACCUGGGCUACACACGUGCUACAAUGGGAAGUACAACGAGUCGCUAGACCGCGAGGUCAUGCAAAUCUCUUAAAGCUUCUCUCAGUUCGGAUUGCAGGCUGCAACUCGCCUGCAUGAAGCCGGAAUCGCUAGUAAUCGCGGAUCAGCACGCCGCGGUGAAUACGUUCCCGGGCCUUGUACACACCGCCCGUCACACCACGAGAGUUUGUAACACCCGAAGUCGGUGAGGUAACCUUUUUGGAGCCAGCCGCCUAAGGUGGGAUAGAUGAUUGGGGU